RNAcentral lists this ribosomal RNA (253 nucleotides) under uncultured bacterium. RNAcentral's name for it is "partial 16S ribosomal RNA". It matches the Rfam family "Bacterial small subunit ribosomal RNA", at positions 524 to 776 of the family's 1533-position model. The record is from RNAcentral.
UACGUAGGGUGCAAGCGUUGCCCGGAUUUAUUGGGCGUAAAGGGCGCGUAGGCGGCUCGGCACGUCCGUUGUGAAAUCGCCCGGCUCAACUGGGCGGGGUCAGCGGAUACGGCCGAGCUUGAGCAAGCUAGGGGGCAAUGGAAUUCCCGGUGUAGUGGUGGAAUGCGUAGAUAUCGGAAGGAACACCAGUGGCGAAAGCGGCUUCCUGGUCCAGCACCGACGUUCAGGCACGAAAGCGUGGGGAGCAAACAGG